GACGAACGCUGGCGGCGUGCUUAACACAUGCAAGUCGAACGGAAAGGCCCCUUUGGGGGUACUCGAGUGGCGAACGGGUGAGUAACACGUGAGUAACCUGCCCUUGACUUCGGGAUAACUUCAGGAAACUGGGGCUAAUACCGGAUAGGAAUCCUUGCUGCAUGGUGGGGGUUGGAAAGUUCCGGCGGUUUGGGUUGGACUCGCGGCUUAUCAGCUUGUUGGUGGGGUGGUGGCUUACCAAGGCUUGGACGGGUAGCCGGCCUGGGAGGGCGACCGGCCACAUUGGGACUGAGAUACGGCCCAGACUCCUACGGGAGGCAGCAGUGGGGAAUAUUGCACAAUGGGCGGAAGCCUGAUGCAGCAACGCCGCGUGCGGGAUGACGGCCUUCGGGUUGUAAACCGCUUUCAGCAGGAGCGAAGCUUGUGGUGACGGUACCUGCAGAAGAAGCACCGGCUAACUACGUG
RNAcentral lists this ribosomal RNA (465 nucleotides) under uncultured bacterium. RNAcentral describes it as "partial 16S ribosomal RNA". It matches the Rfam family "Bacterial small subunit ribosomal RNA", at positions 28 to 507 of the family's 1533-position model. The record is from RNAcentral.